RNAcentral lists this ribosomal RNA (631 nucleotides) under Lactiplantibacillus plantarum. Its description in RNAcentral is "bacterial SSU rRNA". It matches the Rfam family "Bacterial small subunit ribosomal RNA", at positions 238 to 860 of the family's 1533-position model. The record is from RNAcentral. Lineage: Bacteria; Bacillati; Bacillota; Bacilli; Lactobacillales; Lactobacillaceae.
GUAUUAGCUAGAUGGUGRGGUAACGGCUCACCAUGGCAAUGAUACGUAGCCGACCUGAGAGGGUAAUCGGCCACAUUGGGACUGAGACACGGCCCAAACUCCUACGGGAGGCAGCAGUAGGGAAUCUUCCACAAUGGACGAAAGUCUGAUGGAGCAACGCCGCGUGAGUGAAGAAGGGUUUCGGCUCGUAAAACUCUGUUGUUAAAGAAGAACAUAUCUGAGAGUAACUGUUCAGGUAUUGACGGUAUUUAACCAGAAAGCCACGGCUAACUACGUGCCAGCAGCCGCGGUAAUACGUAGGUGGCAAGCGUUGUCCGGAUUUAUUGGGCGUAAAGCGAGCGCAGGCGGUUUUUUAAGUCUGAUGUGAAAGCCUUCGGCUCAACCGAAGAAGUGCAUCGGAAACUGGGAAACUUGAGUGCAGAAGAGGACAGUGGAACUCCAUGUGUAGCGGUGAAAUGCGUAGAUAUAUGGAAGAACACCAGUGGCGAAGGCGGCUGUCUGGUCUGUAACUGACGCUGAGGCUCGAAAGUAUGGGUAGCAAACAGGAUUAGAUACCCUGGUAGUCCAUACCGUAAACGAUGAAUGCGAAGUGUUGGAGGGUUUCCGCCCUUCAGUGCUGCAGCUAACGCAU